Molecule: small nuclear RNA, 112 nt
Organism: Erinaceus europaeus (western European hedgehog)
Lineage: Eukaryota; Metazoa; Chordata; Mammalia; Eulipotyphla; Erinaceidae
Source: Ensembl
GUGCUGGCCCCUGGCAGCACAUAUACUAAAAUUAGAGUGAUAUAGAGAAGAUUAGCAUGGCCCCCAUGCAAGGAUGAUACACAAAUCCAUAUUUUAAGUGUUCCAUAUUUUA